AGAGUUUGAUCAUGGCUCAGGAUGAACGCUAGCGGCAGGCCUAAUACAUGCAAGUCGAACGGUAAGGCCCUUUCGGGGGUACACGAGUGGCGGACGGGUGCGUAACGCGUAUGCAACAUACCUUCAAGCGGGGGAUAUGCCAGGGAAACUUGGUGCAACACCCCAUAGCAUUUCGGGACCGCAUGGUCUUGGGAUUAAAUAUUUAUAGCUUGGAGAUUGGCAUGCGUGACAUUAGCUAGUUGGCGGGGUAACGGCCCACCAAGGCGACGAUGUCUAGCUGGUCUGAGAGGAUGAUCAGCCACACUGGGACUGAGACACGGCCCAGACUCCUACGGGAGGCAGCAGUAGGGAAUAUUGGACAAUGGGGGGAACCCUGAUCCAGCCAUGCCGCGUGAGGGAAGAAGGUCCUCUGGAUUGUAAACCUCUUUUGGCGGGGGACAAACCUGCACUAUACGUGCAGCUGAGGGUACCCGCAGAAUAAGCACCGGCUAACUCCGUG
This 499-nucleotide ribosomal RNA is filed under the name uncultured bacterium. Its description in RNAcentral is "bacterial SSU rRNA". It matches the Rfam family "Bacterial small subunit ribosomal RNA", at positions 8 to 507 of the family's 1533-position model. The record is from RNAcentral.